ACGCGUUUCUAUCGGUCGGCUGCAUCGAAUCCAGUGGCUGGUGGGCGAAUCCGGCGGCGGCGGCGGCGGCGGGAGCGGGCCUAGCCGCGUGCGUGGCUACAUUGGCGCCCAGCGUAGGGGCUCAGGUUGCUCGCAGCUAUGGCCAUGCCUGGCCGCGGGGCUCCGGACAUCGCGCUCGGCGUGGUGGCCACACUCGGCUACGGGGCUCGGGACAUCGUGCUCGGCGGUGGCCACACCCGGCCGUGGGGCUACGGUUGCGUGCGGCGAAGGCGGUGGUCGGGGUGUGGGGCAGCAGCGACGGCCUCAUCCUCCUGUAGUUUGUAUGCUUCUUCUUCCCUUCUCUGCAGCUAGGAUACUUCAAGUGUUCUUCUGCAGGUUUGACAAGAUGUUUAUUCCUGAAGUUCACUUGCUGCUACCAUGUCGGUGCCUAUUCAGGGUUACAUUUGCUGAGUUAAGUCAUCUAUGAUCUUCGAAUGUCUUAGCUAGAAACAAUAUUGUUCUUGAUUUAUGUAUGUGGUUAAGCAAACUUUCUUGCUUGUUUCAAUACAGUAGAAGAAGCCUCAAUUUGUAACCGUUCAGAUCUGUAGCUCAUUGCCUCCUCUUGAAGGUCAUUAGAAAUGGCGAGCCUACUGAGCCUACUGGUGACCUUCAUGAAGAAAGUUACCAGAUUUCUCUGUUGAGCGAGAACUUGGUCGAUCUAUUUUUGGAACAGUUUAUAAAGAAAUUAACAGUGUUUGUGGAUGGGAGACUUUGAAAUGUGAUAUGGACUCCAUGAGUGUUGUCAUGUUUUUAUAUGUGCUUUUAUAUUGCUGCCAUAAUGCUAUUAAUAUUGUGGUGCUAUUAAAAAUUUAAAAUGUUCCCAAAAUUUUGAAUAUUUUGUCAAUAGUUUGAUUUUAAAUAGUUACAAAUUCUGCCAAAUAUAUGUGACCCAAUCUAUAGUCAAAAUACAAUGCAAGUGUCUCAAUCCAAAUCAGGGUUAAAAUCACAAACAACCAUAAAAACCAGGGGCAAAAUCAUAUGGGCAUAUUUGUCUUUUAUACAACAGUUAACACCGUUACAAGAGGAUGACAGAAUAGGGGCAAACUGUUGCUUCAUUUUGAAAAAAACAGGGAUAGAUUCACAAAGUAGAAAAAACAGGGGCAAACCCACAAUUCCCAUACAAACGAAGGGUAUACAUGCAAGAGCCCUAAAAAACAAAGCAUAUUGAUCUCAAAUGGUUGUUUCCUAAUUGGUAGAUGAAGUUACUCAAAUGUGGUUGAUGUAGGCCUAUGAUGUGAGGUUUGUGUUUGAAGCAAGGACUAUUGGGAGAUGGAGUUCCUUGUGCUGACUGCUGAUCACCUUGAACUCAGAAUGCAGUCUAUCGCCUUUUUUUAUUUCAUCAGCUACUUCCUUGGCAGGUUCAGUGAUAGGAUCAGUGUGAUGCUAUAAUUCCCGAGAGUCGUAUGUGCACUUGUGUUCUUGACCAUUGCUUCCAAUUUCUAGAUGCUUUAGGUACUUGCUAAGAUGAUGAUAGAGGCGUUGACUGUAGUCACUGGUAACAUUAGUGCUAUAAUAUUUAUUUGUAUCAAUAUCAAAUCUUCUUUGAGUUAUUAAUGAAGCAUUAUUUAUUUUUGAGUUUGUAGUGUGUUCAAAUUAUGCAUUUUCUAUAUUAAUCGUAAGAUUUUGUCUUAAUUGUGAAUUUGUGAUGCAUCCCUGUUCUCCUAUUGCUAAGCAAUAACAUUAUGAUGUUUUGUACAGGAUAUGAUGCCUGGUAGGACACCGUGCAGCCUGCCAAAUUUUGUAGUACAAAGAAAUUGAAAGGAGGCCUAAUAAGCUGCUGAGUUUGACUGAGACCUCAACUCAUGGUCCUCUGCUUGUGUCCAUCUGUAGCAAGCCAUCAACUAACAGAAAACAGAUUGCGGCAACAAGGAGCUAGAGGACCAAGAGCACAGCCAUCAAGAGGAUGUUAGCAGCCAACUUUUGUGCCCUACCAGGUUGGUUGUCAUAAAAAUUCUCUUUUUACAAGUAAAUAGUAUGCUAAAAUUAAAUAGGAACUAUGCACCUUCAGAUGCUAACACUAAGCAUUGUUGUUGAUCUUGUGCUCUAAAAGAUUCUAGAAUGCUUGUGCUACUAAUAUCUGAUGAUUCUUAUUAGUCAAGAAGUAUGCUCUUAAGUUGCUACUUAUUUAACUACUGGCUGGUUUUGCUUUCACUACUAUGCAAUAUGCUAUCAAAUUGUUGAGCACAUGUUCACAAAUGAAUGGUCAAAGGGGAUCUUUAAUUGGUGAGGUCGCUCCGGUACAUUCUACACCAUCUACUGUUACAAAAAAUGCCCUCUCAGUAGCACCAUGGAUGGGUCUUCUGUUGGGUUCAUGUCUCUUGCACAUUUUGAUUGGAAACACACAUAGGGAGACGACAGGUGGAACCGUCAUAUACCAGUUGUAAAAAGGCUUUUACUGUGUUUGUGUAGUCUGACCAAGAAACAAAUCGCAAUGGAGACAGUAAGUGCAGGAGAAGUAGAAUGUCGUCGAUGACUUGUGAUCACGAAGGAGAUUGGCGUCGGUGGCUCAAGUAUGCUCAAUUCCUAUGAUUCAUGGUUCAGAUGCAUCAUAAACAAAAAACAGAAUAGGACAAGGAUCUCUGAUCUCACCAAUAGGUUAUACAGAAGCAUGAAGUUGAUGACCUUUGAUCUCACCAAGAUGAUCUCACCGAAAGGUCAUACAGAUGCAUGCAGUUUGGUGAUCAUAUCCCUGAUCUCACCAAGAGCACUGAGCACGGUUGGCGAUCUCUGAUCUCACCAAUAGGUCAUACACGAGCACUAUGCCAGUGAUGGUGAACUUCAAGCGGAACGGCGGCCUCCUCCACAAGAUGAGCACAAGGUUGAGGGUGGACUGUUGGAGGAAGAUUGGGAUUGGCCGACUGGGGAAUACUGGGAAGGAGAUCGUGUAUGCAUGGCGGUAUGCAUGGCAAGAGUCACGCUGAGUGGAGAAUUGAUUCUUAUUUCUUUAUUUGCAUGUGAUCGUGAACGACUGUGAUUGCCGUGAAGGAAAGUUUCACGGUCGAACCUGCAUGGAAAGUUUUGCAGGAUGGCGUUGAGAUCGCAAGGGGAGGCUGCCGGGUGACACCAAAUCAAAUGUCGCACCAAACAAUUGUCUUUCUUUUGUUCUUUUUAGUUGUAGGAGAUUCCAUCGGCUGGACAAAAUAACGGCUCUGUUUUUUACUGUAGCCCUGCAGCAGCUGCUGCUGCGAAGGCCUGCCGAGCAGGCUUGAUGUUGCUUGGAAAUUACAUAUUUACUCUAAUCAAAUCAUAUAUAUUUAAGCA
Molecule: long non-coding RNA, 3300 nt
Organism: Sorghum bicolor (sorghum)
Lineage: Eukaryota; Viridiplantae; Streptophyta; Magnoliopsida; Poales; Poaceae
Exons: 3
Source: RefSeq, a predicted model, not a curated record